UUUCUAGAUUGUUAAAACUUCAAAGAACGGA
This 31-nucleotide non-coding RNA is filed under the name Rattus norvegicus (Norway rat). The record is from RNAcentral. Lineage: Eukaryota; Metazoa; Chordata; Mammalia; Rodentia; Muridae.